CUCUAAUAUUACUGCGUCACCGCCUCCCGCGCUGCUAGGCCCCGGCCACCGCGAUCAGGCAGGCCGCGGACCGCCCUCCCCCGUUACCACACUCCUGUUUACCUGAGGACAUGAUGGCGGCAACAGAGAUCACCGAGCCUCGCACAAAAUGUAGGCACCGCGCGCGGGGAAAUCUAUCGACUGUGUGUGUGUGUACGGCGAGGAUGUCACCAGAGCGCGACGGCAGGAAGGCAGGCACGCUCACUCUAAAGGCAAAAGAGGCC
Molecule: non-coding RNA, 263 nt
Organism: Pelobates cultripes (western spadefoot toad)
Lineage: Eukaryota; Metazoa; Chordata; Amphibia; Anura; Pelobatidae
Source: the annotation of a GenBank genome assembly